AUUGAACGCUGGCGGCAUGCUUUACACAUGCAAGUCGAACGGUAACAGGCCGCAAGGUGCUGACGAGUGGCGAACGGGUGAGUAAUGCAUCGGAACGUGCCCAGUCGUGGGGGAUAACUACUCGAAAGAGUAGCUAAUACCGCAUACGAUCUAUGGAUGAAAGCGGGGGACCGUAAGGCCUCGCGCGAUUGGAGCGGCCGAUGUCAGAUUAGGUAGUUGGUGGGGUAAAGGCUCACCAAGACAACGAUCUGUAGCUGGUCUGAGAUGACGACCAGCCACACUGCGACUGAGACGCGGCCCGGACUCCUGAGGGGUGCAGCACUGGUGAAUUUUGGACAAUAGGCUCAACCCUGAUCCAGCGAUGCCGCGUGCAGGUAGAAGGCCUUCGAGUUAUAACCUUCUUUUUUACUGAACGAAACGGCUCUGGUUAAUACCCGGGGCUAAUGACGGUACCGUAAGAUUAAGCACCGGCUAACUACGUG
Molecule: ribosomal RNA, 482 nt
Filed under: uncultured bacterium
Lineage: Bacteria
Description: partial 16S ribosomal RNA
Rfam family: Bacterial small subunit ribosomal RNA
Source: RNAcentral